GAUGAACGCUGGCGGCGUGCCUAAUACAUGCAAGUCGAGCGAACGGACGAGAAGCUUGCUUCUCUGAUGUUAGCGGCGGACGGGUGAGUAAAACGUGGAUAACCUACCUAUAAGACUGGGAUAACUUCGGGAAACCGGAGCUAAUACCGGAUAAUAUUUUGAACCGCAUGGUUCAAAAGUGAAAGACGGUCUUGCUGUCACUUAUAGAUGGAUCCGCGCUGCAUUAGCUAGUUGGUAAGGUAACGGCUUACCAAGGCAACGAUGCAUAGACGACCUGAGAGGGUGAUCGGCCACACUGGAACUGAGACACGGUCCAGACUCCUACGGGAGGCAGCAGUAGGGAAUCUUGCGCAAUGGGCGAAAGCCUGACGGAGCAACGCCGCGUGAGUGAAGAAGGUCUUCGGAUCGUAAAGCUCUGUUAUUAGGGAGGAACAUAUGUGUAUGUAACUGUUCACGUCUUGACGGUACCUAAUCAGAAAGCCACGGCUAACUACGUG
Molecule: ribosomal RNA, 497 nt
Filed under: uncultured bacterium
Lineage: Bacteria
Description: partial 16S ribosomal RNA
Rfam family: Bacterial small subunit ribosomal RNA
Source: RNAcentral